This 305-nucleotide ribosomal RNA is filed under the name uncultured bacterium. RNAcentral describes it as "bacterial SSU rRNA". It matches the Rfam family "Bacterial small subunit ribosomal RNA", at positions 333 to 653 of the family's 1533-position model. The record is from RNAcentral.
UACUUCCUACGGGACGCAGCAGUGGGGAAUAUUGGGCAAUGGACGCAAGUCUGACCCAGCAACGCCGCGUGAAGGAAGAAGGCUUUCGGGUUGUAAACUUCUUUUAAGGGGGAAGAGUAGAAGACGGUACCCCUUGAAUAAGCCACGGCUAACUACGUGCCAGCAGCCGCGGUAAUACGUAGGGGGCAAGCGUUAUCCGGAUUUACUGGGUGUAAAGGGGGCGCAGACGGCAGCGCAAGCCAGGAGUGAAAGCCCGGGGCCCAACCCCGGGACUGCUCUUGGAACUGCGCGGCUGGAGUGCAGGG